RNAcentral lists this long non-coding RNA (239 nucleotides) under Musa acuminata (dwarf banana). Its description in RNAcentral is "long non-coding RNA (MACU_LNC011883)". The record is from RNAcentral. Lineage: Eukaryota; Viridiplantae; Streptophyta; Magnoliopsida; Zingiberales; Musaceae.
UUUAGAAUGUAAUUAGACCUACUCAAUUAGGGGCCCAUUGGGCCUGAGUUGAGAUUAUUUUGGGCCAAGUAGAAGACUCAUUCGGUCACUCAAGGUUAGAUAGAACCACCCAUGAGCUGAAAAAGUUAAAAGCACACUUUUCCAUGCUAUCAAAUAUGGUACCGCCCAAUGCAGGUAUUGGUACCACUCGUGUUUUCGGGGAUUUGAAUUUUGGUUCCAAGUUUUGAAGUCAUUUUGGG